CUCAUACGCUUGGGGUGUCCCUGACGGGGCUGAGAGGCGCGACAGCGUCAACCCAUCGAACCUGAACCGGGUCAUGCCGGCGGAGGGAAGGGUAGAGUGGAACAG
This 105-nucleotide non-coding RNA is filed under the name Pontibaca methylaminivorans. RNAcentral describes it as "TPP sequence". It matches the Rfam family "TPP riboswitch aptamer (THI element)". Rfam says of the family: Vitamin B(1) in its active form thiamin pyrophosphate (TPP) is an essential coenzyme that is synthesised by coupling of pyrimidine and thiazole moieties in bacteria. The previously detected thiamin-regulatory element, thi box was extended, resulting in a new, highly conserved RNA secondary structure, the THI element, which is widely distributed in eubacteria and also occurs in some archaea. Lineage: Bacteria; Pseudomonadati; Pseudomonadota; Alphaproteobacteria; Rhodobacterales; Roseobacteraceae. The record is from Rfam by way of RNAcentral.